Molecule: ribosomal RNA, 120 nt
Organism: Panthera pardus (leopard)
Lineage: Eukaryota; Metazoa; Chordata; Mammalia; Carnivora; Felidae
Source: Ensembl
GUCUAUGGCCAUACUACCCUGAACGCGCCCGAUCUCAUCUGAUCUCGGAAGCUAAGCAGGGUUGGGCCUGGUUGGUACUUGGAUGGGAGAAUUAAUAUUUUGAAACACAUCUCAUGAAUU